AAUGAACGCUGGCGGCGUGCUUAACACAUGCAAGUCGAACGAGAAAGGGGUGGCAACACCCCGAGUAAAGUGGCGCACGGGUGAGUAACGCGUAGGUGACCUGACUUUGGGUAUGGGAUAACAGGGCGAAAGCUCUGCUAAUACCGUAUGAGACCUCUUUUAGGAGAGGUGAAAGGGUGCGCUUCCCUCGGGAAGCAUCUGCCUGGAGAGGGGCCUGCGUCCUAUCAGCUAGUUGGUGAGGUAACGGCUCACCAAGGCUUCGACGGGUAGCUGGUCUGAGAGGAUGAUCAGCCACACUGGCACUGGAACACGGGCCAGACUCCUACGGGAGGCAGCAGUGAGGAAUUUUGCGCAAUGGGGGAAACCCUGACGCAGCAACGCCGCGUGGGUGAUGAAGGCCUUCGGGUCGUAAAGCCCUGUCGGGCGGGAAGAAAGGAUCGGGUUCCAACAGGAUUCGGUUUUGACGGUACCGCCAGAGGAAGCACCGGCUAACUCCGUGCCAGCAGCCGCGGUAAUACGGAGGGUGCGAGCGUUAUUCGGAAUUACUGGGCGUAAAGCGCGUGCAGGCGGAAGGAGCAGUCUGAUGUGAAAGCCCGGGGCUUAACCCCGGAAGAGCAUUGGAAACCAUCCUUCUUGAGUGCUGGAGAGGAAGGGGGAAUUCCCGGUGUAGAGGUGAAAUUCGUAGAGAUCGGGAGGAAUACCAGUGGCGAAGGCGCCCUUCUGGACAGUCAAACUGACGCUGAGACGCGAAAGCGUGGGGAGCAAACAGGAUUAGAUACCCUGGUAGUCCACGCUGUAAACGAUGAGAACUAGGUGUGGCGGGUACUCAUUCCUGCCGUGCCGCAGCUAACGCGUUAAGUUCUCCGCCUGGGGAUUACGGUCGCAAGACUA
RNAcentral lists this ribosomal RNA (891 nucleotides) under uncultured bacterium. RNAcentral's name for it is "bacterial SSU rRNA". It matches the Rfam family "Bacterial small subunit ribosomal RNA", at positions 28 to 896 of the family's 1533-position model. The record is from RNAcentral.